UGGGGAAUAUUGCACAAUGGGCGCAAGCCUGAUGCAGCCAUGCCGCGUGUAUGAAGAAGGCCUUCGGGUUGUAAAGUACUUUCAGUCGGGAGGAAGGUGUCAAGGUUAAUAACCUUGGCAAUUGACGUUACCGACAGAAGAAGCACCGGCUAACUCCGUGCCAGCAGCCGCGGUAAUACGGAGGGUGCAAGCGUUAAUCGGAAUUACUGGGCGUAAAGCGCACGCAGGCGGUUGAUUGAGUCAGAUGUGAAAUCCCCGGGCUUAACCCGGGAAUUGCAUCUGAUACUGGUCAGCUAGAGUCUUGUAGAGGGGGGUAGAAUUCCAGGUGUAGCGGUGAAAUGCGUAGAGAUCUGGAGGAAUACCGGUGGCGAAGGCGGCCCCCUGGACGAAGACUGACGCUCAGGUGCGAAAGCGUGGGGAGCAAAGAGG
This 429-nucleotide ribosomal RNA is filed under the name Chloroflexota bacterium. RNAcentral's name for it is "Chloroflexi bacterium partial 16S ribosomal RNA". It matches the Rfam family "Bacterial small subunit ribosomal RNA", at positions 355 to 776 of the family's 1533-position model. Lineage: Bacteria; Bacillati; Chloroflexota. The record is from RNAcentral.